RNAcentral lists this ribosomal RNA (460 nucleotides) under uncultured bacterium. Its description in RNAcentral is "partial 16S ribosomal RNA". It matches the Rfam family "Bacterial small subunit ribosomal RNA", at positions 338 to 795 of the family's 1533-position model. The record is from RNAcentral.
CCUACGGGUGGCAGCAGUGAGGAAUAUUGGUCAAUGGACGAGAGUCUGAACCAGCCAAGUAGCGUGAAGGAUGACUGCCCCAUGGGUUGUAAACUUCUUUUAUAUGGGAAUAAAAUGUUCCACGUGUGGGAUUUUGUAUGUACCAUAUGAAUAAGGAUCGGCUAACUCCGUGCCAGCAGCCGCGGUAAUACGGAGGAUCCGAGCGUUAUCCGGAUUUAUUGGGUUUAAAGGGAGCGUAGGUGGAUUGUUAAGUCAGUUGUGAAAGUUUGCGGCUCAACCGUAAAAUUGCAGUUGAAACUGGCAGUCUUGAGUACAGUAGAGGUGGGCGGAAUUCGUGGUGUAGCGGUGAAAUGCUUAGAUAUCACGAAGAACUCCGAUUGCGAAGGCAGUUCACUGGACUGCAACUGACACUGAGGCUCGAAAGUGUGGGUAUCAAACAGGAUUAGAUACCCUAGUAGUC